This 447-nucleotide ribosomal RNA is filed under the name uncultured bacterium. RNAcentral describes it as "bacterial SSU rRNA". It matches the Rfam family "Bacterial small subunit ribosomal RNA", at positions 354 to 795 of the family's 1533-position model. The record is from RNAcentral.
UGAGGGAAUAUUGGGUCAAUGGGCGGAAGCCUGAACCAGCCAUGCCGCGUGAAGGAAUAAGGCCCUAUGGGUCGUAAACUUCUUUUGACGGGGAGCAAUAAGGUCUACGUGUAGACCGAUGAGAGUACUCGUUGAAUAAGCAUCGGCUAACUCCGUGCCAGCAGCCGCGGUAAUACGGAGGAUGCAAGCGUUAUCCGGAUUUAUUGGGUUUAAAGGGUGCGUAGGCUGUUUGUCAAGUCAGAGGUGAAAGGCCGCAGCUCAACUGUGGAAUUGCCUUUGAUACUGGCAGGCUGGAAUGCAGAUGCUGUGGGAGGAAUGAGUGGUGUAGCGGUGAAAUGCAUAGAUAUCACUCAGAACACCGAUUGCGAAGGCAUCUCACAAAUCCGCUAUUGACGCUGAGGCACGAAAGCGUGGGGAUCGAACAGGAUUAGAUACCCUGGGGUAGGU